Molecule: ribosomal RNA, 473 nt
Filed under: uncultured Desulfobacula sp.
Lineage: Bacteria; Pseudomonadati; Thermodesulfobacteriota; Desulfobacteria; Desulfobacterales; Desulfobacteraceae
Description: bacterial SSU rRNA
Rfam family: Bacterial small subunit ribosomal RNA
Source: RNAcentral
AAUGAACGCUGGCGGCGUGCUUAACACAUGCAAGUCGAACGAGAAAGGGAUUGCUUGCAAUCCUGAGUAGAGUGGCGCACGGGUGAGUAACACGUAGAUAAUCUACCUUCAAGACUGGGAUAACUAUUCGAAAGGAUAGCUAAUACCGGAUGAAGUGAUUUAACACAAGUUAAACCAUGAAAGAUUGCCUCUUCUUGAAAGCAAUUGUUUGGAGAUGAGUUUGCGGACCAUUAGUUUGUUGGUGGGGUAAAGGCCUACCAAGACUACGAUGGUUAGCUGGUCUGAGAGGAUGAUCAGCCACACUGGAACUGGUACACGGUCCAGACUCCUACGGGAGGCAGCAGUGAGGAAUUUUGCGCAAUGGGGGCAACCCUGACGCAGCAACGCCGCGUGAGUGAAGAAGGCCUUUGGGUCGUAAAGCUCUGUCGACAGGGAAGAAAUUACAAUCAUCCAAUAGGUGUUUGUAUGACGGU